UAGGGGACUGACAGUAUCAGUUAAACAGGAUAUCAGCUCUGGCCGGCCUGCCCUCCACACCGGUGGCUGCCACUCCUGUAGAGAGGGGUGAACCUUUAGCUGCUCCACAGCUGCAGUUCACAGCCCAGGUUACUAAUGUAAACUGAUAAAAGUGGUGGUUAAAUUAAAAUGCCAGACAGUGGUGGCUGAAGAGCUGAUACACAUUUGUUACAGAAACUUCUGCUGUGGAGCAAUGUUUCAGCAAGAGAGAAAUGCACAACAGCUAAACCCAGCAAACCCCAUGUGUCCCAUCCCUGAAUCAAGUCAAGGAGCAAGACCUACCGCACUGUGUAGUGGAACACUUCCUUCAGCUUGCAGCAUAUAACUGCGAAUGUAUCCUGACUGUCAGAGGAGCCGGGCAGAUCGUGCUGAAGUCAGCCAUGGGUAUGGUUGCCUGCCCCUCCUUGAUUACUCCUGUUCCUUGCCAGCUUUUUACACAACUUCUUCCUGUUUGCCUGCCUCCUCAUGCAUGGAGACCCUCCCUAAAUACCUCUACAGCUGCUACAGCCUUCUCCUUUUAUAAGGCCUCUAACAGCAUUCUUCUGCCAAGCAUGUUGACAAGAAAUCAACUAGCAUUUAAUGGCUGAGAAGCAAAAAGGAAAUGAACAGGAAGCUGCAUAAAAUAGGAAAGUUUGGAAUGAAAUGGAAAGAGCAACCUGACAAUUUGGGGAUGGAAAAUUUACUGCAAGACACCACCCACCACUCUCAAUUUCUCCUCCUUUCCUGCUUGGGAACACAAUUCUCCAGAAGCAGAAAGUCCCUGCA
This 804-nucleotide long non-coding RNA is filed under the name Apteryx owenii (little spotted kiwi). RNAcentral's name for it is "lncRNA (ENSAOWG00000017559.1)". Lineage: Eukaryota; Metazoa; Chordata; Aves; Apterygiformes; Apterygidae. The record is from RNAcentral.